UACGUAGGAGGCAAGCGUUAUCCGGAUUUACUGGGCGUAAAGCGUGUGCAGGCGGUUUGGUAAGUCGGAUGUGAAAUCCCCAGGCUUAACCUGGGAACUGCAUCCGAUACUGGAUGGCUUGAAUCCGGGAGAGGGAUGCAGAAUUCCAGGUGUAGCGGUGAAAUGCGUAGAUAUCUGGAGGAAUACCGGUGGCGAAGGCGGCAUCCUGGACCGGCAUUGACGCUGAUGAGCGAAAGCUAGGGGAGCAAACGGG
Molecule: ribosomal RNA, 253 nt
Filed under: uncultured bacterium
Lineage: Bacteria
Description: partial 16S ribosomal RNA
Rfam family: Bacterial small subunit ribosomal RNA
Source: RNAcentral